RNAcentral lists this unclassified non-coding RNA (326 nucleotides) under soil metagenome. RNAcentral describes it as "partial contains 5.8S ribosomal RNA, internal transcribed spacer 2, and large subunit ribosomal RNA". The stretch from base 1 to 120 matches the Rfam family "5.8S ribosomal RNA", at positions 35 to 154 of the family's 154-position model. The record is from RNAcentral.
GAUGAAGAACGCAGCGAAAUGCGAUAAGUAAUGUGAAUUGCAGAAUUCAGUGAAUCAUCGAAUCUUUGAACGCACAUUGCGCCCCUUGGUAUUCCGAGGGGCAUGCCUGUUCGAGCGUCAUUAUAACCCCUCAAGCUCAGCUUGGUGUUGGGGCCUGCCGCACGGGCAGCCCUUAAAAUCAGUGGCGGUGCCAUCUGGCUCUAAGCGUAGUAAUUCUUCUCGCUAUAGAGUUCCGGUGGAUGCUUGCCAUUAACCCCAAUUUUCUAUGGUUGACCUCGGAUCAGGUAGGGAUACCCGCUGAACUUAAGCAUAUCAAAAGCGGAGGA